This 206-nucleotide microRNA precursor is filed under the name Xyrichtys novacula (pearly razorfish). Lineage: Eukaryota; Metazoa; Chordata; Actinopteri; Labriformes; Labridae. The record is from RNAcentral.
CAUUUUGAUCAUGUUUUACAUUGUCAAGUAAGUAUUAAGUGGCAGUUUGAUCCCUUACAAAAUGCUCUUUUCACACUCACAAAUGAAUUUUACUCUCUUAUGCUGUUCUGUUAAAUGAUUUGGAAUAUUAAACUAACACACCACACGCAAAGGGAUCAAACUGCCACUUAAUACUUACUUGACAAUGUAAAACAUGAUCAAAAUGA